This 1601-nucleotide long non-coding RNA is filed under the name Homo sapiens (human). RNAcentral describes it as "HSALNT0057935". The record is from RNAcentral. Lineage: Eukaryota; Metazoa; Chordata; Mammalia; Primates; Hominidae.
AUACUCCAGUCGGUACCGCACAUGUUUCCAAGGGCUGCUAUCUCUUCAAGACGGAGUCUUGCUCUGCAUCCCAGGCUGGAAUGCAAUGCUGCGAUCUUGGCUCACUGCAACCUCCAUCUCCCAGGUUCAAGCGAUUCUUCUGCUUCAGCCUUCCAAGUAGCUGGAAUUACAGGUGCCUGCCACUGUGCCCAGCUAAUUUUUUUUUUUUGCAUUUUUUUAGUAGAGACGGGGUUUCCCCAUGUUUGUCAGGCUGGUCUCAAACUCCUGUCCUCAGGUGAUCCACCCACCUCAGCCUCCCAAAGUGCUGGGAUUACAGGUGUGAGCCACUGCACCUGGCCUAGAGAUACUUUCAAGUUAGAGGCUACCUCUGCUGAAAUAUGUCUUGUCAGAUAAUCUGAGUUUCAGAUCCCUGUAACACAGAGCAUCAGGCAUUGAAGUGGUUCAUUCUAUUGAUUCUGAAGUCAGAAUGUUUAUAUUCAGAUACUGCUCUGCCACAUUGGUUCUCUAAAUAUUACUUCAUCUCAGUGUGCUGAUUUUUUCAACUAUUAAAUGGAAGUAAUAAUGGAACCCAUUUUAUAGAAUUAUUUGAAAAACUAACAAAUAAAACAUGCCAAUACUUUGAUCAGUGCCUGGCAAAGAGUAAAUAUUCAAUAAAUGCUAUCUAUUUUUUAAAAACAAAAAAACUAUUCUGUUUUGUUUACAAGUGCUUGUAUCUUUGAACCCAAAUUAGAAGAUUGUAUGUCUCAAGUUUCUAUAAUCCUAAAAUCAACACAUCAAAACCCCAUUCCAUUGAGUUCUAAUAUUAGCCCCAAGAUACUCUCUUUACCUUCACAUUUUUUAAGACUUUCAAUCCUACUUUAACAUCAAGUCACAAUCUUUCCAUGAAAACUGCCUUUCAGCACAUCUAAUAGAAAAAUAAAAAUUAUUUUCCUGUAUUUCACAUGGAGUAAUGAUAAGAGUAAGGGCUUUCAAAUCAGAUUGGUUUAUGAUUAAAACUCAACCCUGGAAGUGAUGUGGUUUGGUUCUGUGUUCCCACCCAAAUCUCACCCCAAAUUGUAAUCACCGUGUGUCGAGUAAGGUAGGUGACUGGAUCAUGAGGGUGGUUUCCCCAUGCUGUUUCAUUAGUGAGUGAGUUCUCAUGAGAACUGAUGGUUUUAUAAGUGUUUGACAAUUCCUCCUUCACAUGCUCACUCUCUCACUCUCUCCUGCCACCUUGUGAAGAAGGUGUCUGUUUCCCCUGUUGCCAUGAUUGUAGGUUUUCUGAGGUCCUGAGGCCUCCCCAGCCAUGUAGAACUGUGUCAACUGAACCUGUUUUGUUUAGAAAUUAGCCAGUCUUGGAUAAUAUCUUUAUAGCAGUGUGAAAACUGAAAAUAUAGGAAGUUACUAGCUCUGUGACCCUGUGAGUUACUUAACUACUUUGCACCUCAGUUUCCACAUUCAUAAAACGCAUUCUGUUUGAAUUAAAUGAGAAAAAUACCUGGGAGAUUAACUGAUACAGAUAACAUGCUCAGCAAAUAACUUUUAUCGUAGCCUGAUUGUUUCUCCAUAAAACUGAAGGCUUUGUUCAGUCUUCAUUAAAAUAUUCACAAGAAAAUAAACAG